This 3421-nucleotide long non-coding RNA is filed under the name Citrus x clementina. RNAcentral's name for it is "Citrus clementina (C. clementina) long non-coding RNA (CCLE_LNC001827)". Lineage: Eukaryota; Viridiplantae; Streptophyta; Magnoliopsida; Sapindales; Rutaceae. The record is from RNAcentral.
GUAUUCUGCGAGUACCAUACCUCAUAAUUGAAACAUCGGCAAAUGAUUAAAAAAAUUAAUUAAAAAAAUUAAAUAAUCUCACGAUGUUCAAAUUGGGAGAUAUGAUGGCAUUAGGAACCACAAUCAAGGCCCUUCAAUAAAUGAAAAGAGGGAAGAUUUUCAAUAAAGCUGAGGGAGACAACCUACCAACUUCAAAAUGACUCCAUAAUGCCAAAUGGCUGCCAAAAUCAAAGAGGAUUUUGGAAAGAUGAACCGACGCACUGGUUCAUUCAUUGCAUUUUACUUUUGACUCGACAGAUCAAUGUGCUACCCCCAUGCCUAGAAGGUUCAAUAGUUCGGUACCUCUAUUUCAAAAAACCUUCGACGCAUUAUUUACUGAUAAAUGUUACAAAAUAAUAAGAUCCGUACGUGCUCUUGUAUUUCAAAACACUACUUUGGAUGUUGAUCAUGUAUGAUUUCACUUUUAAAAUUAUAAUUUGAAAUUUAUUGAGACUUUUGACACAUAAAUUUUAUAACACCACUUAAAAAUCUAUCGAAUUAAUUCAAAAAAAAAAAAAUUCUUAUCACUCUUCCAAAAAGGACUUGCAUGAGAUUCGAACUUAUGAGCCCAAACAUAUGUUGGGGGGUAUAAAUAUCACUAAGCUAUAAAUCUGGUGUCAAUGCAUUUAGCAGUAUAUCAGUAGGAUUCAAACUAAUUACUAUACCUGAAAAGAACUCAUCAACAAUUAAUUGGCACCCCCUGCUUUCUGUCGUAUUAAUACAUCUCAAAUCAUAUAGACAGCAAAAAUAAAGCAAAAAGACAAAAGCAAGAUAUGUAAAACAAUUUAUUUAUUUAUUUAGCAAAAGUAAUGACACGUGCAUAUAUUAAAAAAUGUAUGUGGGACAGUGCCCCACAUAGGAAUGACAUGGACUUUCCUCAAGAGAGGGAACAACAAAAUGUGUUAUCACGUGCAUGCAUGCACGCAAGAUCCCCAAGAGUCUUCACAGCUUAUCCAAAGGCCAAAGCUGUGUAAUCCAAAGAACUUGAAUUUCAAAAUCAUAAUCAUGAAAAAAAAUUUCGUCCGAUUAUAAAAAUAGAAGAUAAUUACGUUAUGGGCUGAAACUGAAAUGAAAGUUUGAAUAAAACUUUUUAGUUCAUAAAUGUUACUGUUGUUUAGUUACAGAGUUGAAUUACUUUGUUUUUUUUUCCCAAAUUAUUACAUCAUCACUAGAUAUCAUUAAUUUGGGACAGUUGCUUUCCAAUCGGGAAGGUAAGUGCUCAUGGAGCUCACUUGAUAGUAUUUUGAUACCAAAUUCUCGUGACUUUUAAAUUACGGUACCUAUAAACUAAAAAUUAUUACGAACAUCAUUAUCGAAGGCUUAAGAAUAAAUCUUUCUAAAAAAUGAAUGAAAUUUAUAUAAAAAUAGCAGCCAUAGACCAAUUGUUAGGUUGUUAGCAACCACCUCAAACAAACGAGCCCUAUACUACUCUUAAAAGUUAUUGUUGGAUAUACAAUUGUAGCAAUUCAGGCCAACAACCAAAUGCCUAGAUUGUUUCCUAUUUCUUACACUACCAAUCAAAUUGAAAAUUUUUAGUUUUACUAUAUAAACCUUUAUAAAUACUCAAUAUGACAUCGACUAACAAAAGUUUAUAUAUAAAUCCAUUAAUUAAAUAUUAAUUUUUAUCAAAUAAAAAAAAUAAUUUUUUAUUAAAUUAUUGUUAAAAUGUAAUUUGUUCAUCACAAACCAACAAAUAUAAUUUAUUCAACUAUAUUUUUUAACAGAUGGUCAAAUUUAAAUAACCCAACAUUUAUAUAAAAGUAAAACUCAGUAUAUAUAUAAUUCAUUACAUUAUUAUCACCACAAAAAGGAUUUGGGAGAAGCUUUUAACAAAAGAUAUACAACUAGUGAACUAGAGAUGGUAUAGGGAUUACAACUAUCUUCAGUUUUUUAAAAGAUUAGGAUUUUACUUGAAAAAUUCAUUUUCUAAUUAAUUGUGCUUUUUGUGUUGGAAGUAUGACUAGCGGAGAAAUCCAAUUAGGAGGUUGAUUAAGAACAUUUCAUUACCAAAAUCCUUCAUCAUUUAUACUUUUGAUUAAUUGAAUUAGAAUAAAAUAUAACAAAUUUAAUGUUUAGGAGGGAUGUAUACAUUGGAUGUAUUUAAAAGUGAUUACAAAAAUUUUAGAAUAUAAAACUUUCUUUUUAUUUUAUUAUCUUGGCCAUAUCAGUAAUUUAUAUUUUACGUAUUUUAGUAAUAAAUUUUUUAAUUGAAAAAUGAGCUUAAAAAGAUAUUUUGAUGGGUUUAAAUAAUUUUACCUAUCCCCUCAUUAUCGAAUACUAUGAGGGAUUUAUAGAAAUUGAAACAGAAGGGACUUAAAUAUUAAAAUAUUAAAAUAUCUAGUUUUCUUAGUUUUUUAAUAAACAAUAAGGACUCUAAUGUAAUUAGAUCAGAACAUUUUUUGUCCUUAAUUAUGACUAAUGAUUUUUUUUAAUAGUAACGUGGAUCAUGUUACGAAGCAAAUUGGCAAAAUAAAAAUAAACAUAAAAAUAAAAAUAAAUGUUUAUUGAUGCAUGCAUGUUUCACGUUUUUGCCGACCUAAUCGAUUGCUUCAAUUUGAUUAAGAUCUUUAGCGACCUCAAUUAAUGGCUUCGUUAAAAUAAUAGUUACAUUUGAUUUCUUAAUUUUUUUUUCAAAUUAAAUGACAAGGAAUCUACACUUUUUUUUUUCUUAAUCAGACAAAAAUGUCAGACAUCUCUCUAAAAUGUUAAAAAGAAAAUUAUCCUUUAAUCUACAUUAUCUUAAAAAGUUCUAUAAUUCUAUAAUGCAUGAUUAUUGUCAUGAUUAAGAUAAUAGUAAUUUAUUUUUAAGUUAUUCAAUAUUAAUUUAAUAGCCUAUUAUAAUAUUUAACAUGUACCGUAAUAUAUAAAUAAUCAAAAUUAGAAGACUGCUGACAAUUGCAUGGCCAGGUGAUUUUUAGGUUAUUUUAUUUAGUUGGCCAAUCAUGUUACAUUAAGAAGCACUGUCUUCACAUUUAUCUGAUGUGAUUCAAGAUUGGAAUGUGCCACCAAUACCAUUAUGAUCCUAAAAAGUCUUUUCAAGAAAUUGGUGAUAAAGUCUCUUUUAUAGUUGAUGCAUUUUUUUGGUAUAAAGUCUUUGUGAAAAAACGCCUCUUGUAUCUCGUUACAUUGUCUUUUAAAUUCUUUUGGUCUUAAAUAUCCAUUUGCAACUAAUAAGUUUAGUAACUUUUGGUAAUAGGACAAGAUCCUAUACGUCAUUGUCCUUCACGGACCUUAUCUCCUUAUUCAUAGCAUUUUUUAUCACUCUAAUAUCUACCUCACGUUCUUAAAGAAAUAUAAUGUAGUCAUCUGGCACUGCAUAGUGAAUCUCCUUAAUGGUUUGGGUUCUUGAGAUAGUAGUGUUUUUUCUUUUGGAAUAAUUUCU